GCCUGGGUGGCUCAGUGGUUGAGCAUCUGCCUUCAGCUCAGGUCGUGAUACUGGCAUCCUGGGAUCGAGUCCCACAUCAGGCU
Canis lupus familiaris (dog) is the source of this 83-nucleotide non-coding RNA. The record is from Rfam. Lineage: Eukaryota; Metazoa; Chordata; Mammalia; Carnivora; Canidae.